Molecule: ribosomal RNA, 497 nt
Filed under: uncultured bacterium
Lineage: Bacteria
Description: partial 16S ribosomal RNA
Rfam family: Bacterial small subunit ribosomal RNA
Source: RNAcentral
GAUGAACGCUGGCGGCGUGCCUAAUACAUGCAAGUCGAGCGAAUAGUCUAUGAGCUUGCUCCUCUGACGUUAACGGCGAACAGGGGAGUAACACUGGGAUACCCUACCUAUAAGACUGGGAUAACUUCGGGAAACCGGAGCUAAUACCGGAUAAUAUAGUAAACCUCAUUUUUCAAUAGUGAAAGACGGUGUUGCUGUCACUUAUAGAUGGAUCCGCGGCGCAUUAGCUAGUUGGUAAGGUAACGGCUUACCAAGGCAACGAUGCGUAGCCGACCUGAGAGGUGAAUCGCCAACAUGGGAACGGAACACCGGUCAAGAUUCUUAGGGGAGGAAGCAUAAGGGAAUUUUCGGAAAUGGGGGAAGGCUUGACGGACAAAGGCGCGGUAGGGAAUGAAGGUUUCGGAUUCUAAAACUCUGUUUAUUGGGGAAGACAAAAAGUGGAAGUAAAAAUGCACGUCUUGACGGUACCUAACCAGAAAGCCACGGCUAACUACGUG